Molecule: ribosomal RNA, 668 nt
Filed under: uncultured Enterobacterales bacterium
Lineage: Bacteria; Pseudomonadati; Pseudomonadota; Gammaproteobacteria; Enterobacterales
Description: bacterial SSU rRNA
Rfam family: Bacterial small subunit ribosomal RNA
Source: RNAcentral
CAAGUCGAACGGUAGCACAGAGAGCUUGCUCUCGGGUGACGAGUGGCGGACGGGUGAGUAAUGUCUGGGAAACUGCCUGAUGGAGGGGGAUAACUACUGGAAACGGUAGCUAAUACCGCAUAACGUCGCAAGACCAAAGAGGGGGACCUUCGGGCCUCUUGCCAUCAGAUGUGCCCAGAUGGGAUUAGCUAGUAGGUGGGGUAACGGCUCACCUAGGCGACGAUCCCUAGCUGGUCUGAGAGGAUGACCAGCCACACUGGAACUGAGACACGGUCCAGACUCCUACGGGAGGCAGCAGUGGGGAAUAUUGCACAAUGGGCGCAAGCCUGAUGCAGCCAUGCCGCGUGUAUGAAGAAGGCCUUCGGGUUGUAAAGUACUUUCAGCGGGGAGGAAGGUGUUGCGGUUAAUAACCGCAGCAAUUGACGUUACCCGCAGAAGAAGCACCGGCUAACUCCGUGCCAGCAGCCGCGGUAAUACGGAGGGUGCAAGCGUUAAUCGGAAUUACUGGGCGUAAAGCGCACGCAGGCGGUCUGUCAAGUCGGAUGUGAAUCCCCGGGCUCAACCUGGGAACUGCAUUCGAAACUGGCAGGCUAGAGUCUUGUAGAGGGGGGUAGAAUUCCAGGUGUAGCGGUGAAAUGCGUAGAGAUCUGGAGGAAUACCGGUGGCGA